Non-coding RNA from Chrysemys picta bellii (western painted turtle), 861 nucleotides. The record is from RefSeq and is a predicted model, not a curated record. Lineage: Eukaryota; Metazoa; Chordata; Testudines; Emydidae.
CAGAGCACAGACCUGUUUCUGGAACACACCGGAGGGAGUGCUUUACCUUACCUUGGAUACACCGACAGUACCACUGGAUGUCACUGUUGCUUCAUGAAAGUCAAAAGAUGUACCAGAAUACUGACAAAUCUUUUUAAAAAAACCCCAUGACUCUGACACAUCAAAACAGUGUGUGAGCUCCUCCUGGUGGUGCAGAAGUCUUGGAGAGUCAAACAGGAACAAGGAAUAAAAGGAGAAAAAUCAAGUGACUAUGUUGAAGCUUCAAGAAAGUUGCUGCCAAUGUAGCAUUUAGGGUCUUUCCCUCCACACCUGCAGAAUGACUGAGCCAGAUAACAAGGAGAAAGAAGAGGACUCGGGAUGGCAUGUUCCAGGAGAUGCUGCAAGCCAAUGCUGCAUCAGAGAACAAAACCAGGGCCCGGAGGAUCACCCUUGCAGACAGCCUGGAGAAGGAUACAGCAGAGAGGAGAAAGGUUCAGGAAAAGGAAAAGGACAUGCAACAGGAGAUGCUUUCACUUCUCAGACAGAAAACUGAAAUGCUGGUAGACCUGCAGAUUAAACAAUCCCAUGCUUGCCUCCCUCUGCAGAACUCAAUAUUGGGACCUCCCUAUGCCCUCCCUCAACAUUCCACGUGGCAUCAAGGAACCACUGCACUACCCCUACCACUCCAUUCCAGGGAACAUUAAAGACAAUCACAGCUUCACAUACACUGACCUGUGAAAGCCAUGGGGUGGUGUACAUGUACCUGGAAUGGAGUGUUCUUUUCCCUUCAUAAGUUCUGUUCCCUUAAUUUAUUAAGUUUUAAAUGUUUUUUUUUAAUUGCCUGGUUCAUGUUACAGAUAAAAUUCAAUUUUUUGGAACAAA